UGGGGAAUAUUGCACAAUGGGGGAAACCCUGAUGCAGCGACGCCGCGUGAGUGAAGAAGUAUCUCGGUAUGUAAAGCUCUAUCAGCAGGGAAGAAAAUGACGGUACCUGACUAAGAAGCCCCGGCUAACUACGUGCCAGCAGCCGCGGUAAUACGUAGGGGGCAAGCGUUAUCCGGAAUUACUGGGUGUAAAGGGUGCGUAGGUGGUAUGGCAAGUCAGAAGUGAAAACCCAGGGCUUAACUCUGGGACUGCUUUUGAAACUGUCAGACUGGAGUGCAGGAGAGGUAAGCGGAAUUCCUAGUGUAGCGGUGAAAUGCGUAGAUAUUAGGAGGAACAUCAGUGGCGAAGGCGGCUUACUGGACUGAAACUGACACUGAGGCACGAAAGCGUGGGGAGCAAACA
This 402-nucleotide ribosomal RNA is filed under the name uncultured bacterium. RNAcentral's name for it is "bacterial SSU rRNA". It matches the Rfam family "Bacterial small subunit ribosomal RNA", at positions 355 to 774 of the family's 1533-position model. The record is from RNAcentral. RNAcentral also lists the same sequence under 1 other name.